This 484-nucleotide ribosomal RNA is filed under the name uncultured bacterium. RNAcentral's name for it is "partial 16S ribosomal RNA". It matches the Rfam family "Bacterial small subunit ribosomal RNA", at positions 28 to 507 of the family's 1533-position model. The record is from RNAcentral.
GAUGAACGCUGGCGGCGUGCUUAAUACAUGCAAGUCGAACGGACAGGCGAGUUUGUGGGUACUCGAGUGGUGAACGCGUGCGUAACACGUGAGUAACCUGCACUUGACUUCGGGAUAAGUUCAGGUAACUGGGGCUAAUACCGGAUAGGAAUCCUUGCUGCAUGGUGAGGGUUGGAAAGCUUAAGCGGUUUUGGCUGGACUCGCUGCUUAUAAGCUUGUUGGUAAGGUAGUGGCUUACCAAGGCUGCGAUGGGUAGCCGAGCUGAGAGGGUGACCGGCCACACUGAGACUGAGCCACGGCCCAGACUCCGACGGGAGGCAGCAGUAGGGACUCUUCGGAAAUGGGCGAAAGCCUGACGGAGCAACGCAGCGUGAGUGAUGAAGGUCUUCGGAUCGUAAAACUCUGUUAUUAGGGAAGACCAAAUGUGUAAGUAACUAUGCACGUCUUGACGGUACCUACUCAGAAAGCAACGGCUAACUACGUG